Molecule: ribosomal RNA, 490 nt
Filed under: uncultured bacterium
Lineage: Bacteria
Description: partial 16S ribosomal RNA
Rfam family: Bacterial small subunit ribosomal RNA
Source: RNAcentral
AUUGAACGCUGGCGGCAGGCCUAACACAUGCAAGUCGAACGGUAACAGGAAGAAGCUUGCUUCUUUGCUGACGAGUGGCGGACGGGUGAGUAAUGUCUGGGAAACUGCCUGAUGGAGGGGGAUAACUACUGGAAACGGUAGCUAAUACCGCAUAAUGUCGCAAGACCAAAGAGGGGGACCUUCGGGCCUCUUGCCAUCGGAUGUGCCCAGAUGGGAUUAGCUAGUAGGUGGGGUAACGGCUCACCUAGGCGACGAUCCCUAGCUGGUCUGAGAGGAUGACCAGCCACACUGGAACUGGGACACGGUCCAGACUCCUACGGGAGGCAGCAGUGGGGAAUAUUGCACAAUGGGCGCAAGCCUGAUGCGGCUAUGCCGCGUGUAUGAAGAAGGCCUUCGGGUUGUAAAGUACUUUCAGCGGGGAGGAAGGGAGUAAAGUUAAUACCUUUGCUCAUUGACGUUACCCGCAGAAGAAGCACCGGCUAACUCCGUG